GGGGUCUCUGUUUGUGCAUUCCAGGGUAGAAACACUACAGGGACACUUUUGGCGUGUGAUGGGCACUGAACCUACAAAUAGCAAUAAAAGAUGGCCUUUCAAGUGGCUUCCUUCGGUAAAUAAAAGGUAAAUAAACAGCAAUGCUCAUUUAGAAGAUAACUAAGGGGCGCCCCAGUGGCUCAGUCAGUUAAGCAUCUGACCUCAGGUCAGGUCAUGAUCUCAUGGUUCAUGAGUUCGAGCCCCGCGACAGGCUCUGUGCUGACAGCUAGGAGCCUGGAGCCUGCUAUGGAUUCUGUGUCUCCCUCUCUCUCUGCCCCUCCCCCACUCACACUCUGUCUCUCUCUCAAAAAUAAAUAUUUUUUUUUAAAAAAGAUAACUAUCAUGCCGGUCAGAGUGGCUAAAAUGAACAAAUCAGGAGACUCUAGAUGCUGGAGAGGAUGUGGAGAAACGGGAACCCUCUUGCACUGUUGGUGGGAAUGCAAAUUGGUGCAGCCACUCUGGAAAACAGUGUGGAGGUGCCUCAAAAAAUUAAAAAUAGAGCUACCCUAUGACCCAGCAAUAGCACUGCUAGGAAUUUACCCAAGGGAUACAGGAGUGCUGAUGCAUAGGGGCACUUGUACCCCAAUGUUUAUAGCAGCUCUUUCAACAAUAGCCAAAUUAUGGAAAGAGCCUAAAUGUCCAUCAACUGACGAAUGGAUAAAGAAGAUGUGGUUUAUACACACAAUGGAACACUACGUGGCAAUGAGAAAGAAUGAAAUCUGGCAACAUUUGCAGCAACGUGGAUGGAACUGGAAGGUAUUAUGCUGAGUGAAAUAAGUCAGGCAGAGAAAGACAGAUGCCAUAUGUUUUCACUCAAAUGUGGAUCCUGAGAAACUUAACAGAGAACCACGGGGGAAGGAAAGAGGGGUUGGGGGGAGUUAUAGAGAGGGAAGGAGGAAAACCAUAAUAGACUCUUGAAUUACAGAGAACAAACUGAGGGCUGAUGGGGGGCGGGAGGGAGGGGAAAGUGGGUGAUGGGCAUGGAGGAGGGCCCCUGUUGGGAUGAGCACUGGGUGACGUAUGGAAACCAAUUUGACGAUGAAUUAUAUUAUAAGAAAAUUAUUUAAUUAUGAAAAAAUUUUAAAAAUAAUAAUAAAAAAUUUUUAAAAGAUAACUAAACAGUACUUUAGAUUUUGUGACAGCAGGCAGAAGAGCAACAUGGGGGGGGGGGGCAAGCCAUUGUGCAGAGAGCAGUAGGCUUUGAGUCAAGAGACUGGACUUUACCCAGGUUCUAUGUCAGACUGACUUUUGGCAAAGUAAGACUCAGCUUCCACUCAGUUUCCUGACGCAUGAAAUGACAAAGGUUGCUCCCGGCGCCCCGUGCUCUGACUCCGGGUCCCCUACCAGAAAGGGCUUCUUAUAAAGAUCACCUUAACUUGACAGGCCACAACUGUCCUUCCUACGAACUUCGCACAGCAGGACAGAAGCUCCACCUGUUUGCAUGAGGCCUGGGUUGUGGGAUAAGGGAUUUCCUGAUGGAACCCCAAGAGUCUGUAUCGUCACAUCCUCCCCAGUGAGCCCAUGAGGAAGUGUACCAAAAAGCCACAGGGUGAGAACAGUUUGGGGGCAGCCGUAAGAACAGGUUGUGUUUAUUUAGGGGCUGGAAAUGUAAAUGCACGUAUCAAACGCCUCCCCCACACCACCCACACCGCCCCUACCAUGGUUACCAAAAAAAAAAGAAAAGAAAAAGAAAAAGAAAAAGAAAAAAGGACACAGCGGAUCUUUGGCACAGUUAGGCCUUGCCCAUUUUCAGCUCUGGUCUUUCUCUGAGGUAAUAUCUUUAUCUGCUGCCCGCCAGACCUGUUUGUUGGUGCAGGUAAGUUUUGCUUCCUUCUGACUCACCAUAGCUUGCUUGGCGGCAGUGAACCCGGAAGCCGCUGUUUCCUGAUGAUCUUUGGCCUACUUCUUCCGAGAUGCCGUGGGGCAGUCAUGGCACCCUGGGCGGUGGGUUGACUUUCCCUCAGUCAAAAGCCUUUGGCACGGCCACCUCCUGGUACCCCCGAAGCCCUGCUGAGAAGUCACGGUGGAGAAGUGCCAGGAAACGCCUCCCACACUCUGUUAAUUACACAAGGGACUUUUAAAAGUAAAAACUGGGUACCCAAAGCCCCCAGGAAGUACCAUACGAGCCACGACCUCCAAAAUGAACCAGUUAAGGAGGUCCAGCACAGCGGAAGAGGGCUUGCAUUUCGAAGUUAGAUAAACCCCAGUUGGACCAACCUUAGUGCAACAUGGAACUCGUUAAUAGUUCCACCUGCCUUGCUGUUUUGCAGUUCCACGCCUCAAUUGUGCUGCCUCCGCUUUCUGGAAUGCUCUGCCCCACCCCACGGCCUCUCUUCACGGAACUACCUCCCGCUUAUCGUCCGCAGUUCAAACACCACCUCCUCCAGGAAGUCCACCCUGCACAUCCCCAGCUGCAUUAGAUGCCCCUCUUGGUACUUAGCCUCAUGCCCCAUGUACGGCUGUCAUUGCACUUACCAUAUUGUUGUAUAAUUGCUAUCUUCCGCUCCUACGCUGAAUUUCUUCUUGGCCAGAACCAACACAUUUUAUUCAUCUUUGUUCUCUCCGUAGCUCAAUGCAUAACUUAGUAUGUUCAUUAAAUAAA
This 2641-nucleotide long non-coding RNA is filed under the name Lynx pardinus (Iberian lynx). The record is from RNAcentral. Lineage: Eukaryota; Metazoa; Chordata; Mammalia; Carnivora; Felidae.